Molecule: ribosomal RNA, 497 nt
Filed under: uncultured bacterium
Lineage: Bacteria
Description: partial 16S ribosomal RNA
Rfam family: Bacterial small subunit ribosomal RNA
Source: RNAcentral
GAUGAACGCUGGCGGCGUGCCUAAUACAUGCAAGUCGAGCGAACGGACGAGAAGCUUGCUUCUCUGAUGUUAGCGGCGGACGGGUGGGUAACACGUGGAUAACCUACCUAUAAGACUGGGAUAACUUCGGGAAACCGGAGCUAAUACCGGAUGAUAUUUUGAACCGCAUGGUUCAAAAGUGAAAGACGGUCUUGCUGUCACUUAUAGAUGGAUCCGCGCUGUAUUAGCUAGUUGGUAAGGUAACGGCUUACCAAGGCAGCGAUGCAUAGCCGACCUGAGAGGGUGAUCGGCCACACUGGAACUGAGACACGGUCCAGACUCCUACGGGAGGCAGCAGUAGGGAAUCUUCCGCAAUGGGCGAAAGCCUGACGGAGCAACGCCGCGUGAGUGAUGAAGGUCUUCGGAUCGUAAAACUCUGUUAUUAGGGAAGAACAUAUGUGUAAGUAACUGUGCACAUCUUGACGGUACCUAAUCAGAAAGCCACGGCUAACUACGUG